GACGAACGCUGGCGGCGUGCCUAAUACAUGCAAGUAGAACGCACAGUUUAUACCGUAGCUUGCUACACCAUAGACUGUGAGUUGCGAACGGGUGAGUAACGCGUAGGUAACCUGCCUGGUAGCGGGGGAUAACUAUUGGAAACGAUAGCUAAUACCGCAUACUAUUUAUUAUUGCAUGAUAAUUAAUUGAAAGGUGCAAUUGCACCACUACCAGAUGGACCUGCGUUGUAUUAGCUAGUAGGUGAGGUAACGGCUCACCUAGGCGACGAUACAUAGCCGACCUGAGAGGGUGAUCGGCCGCACUGAGACUGAGACACGGCCCAGAGUCAUACAGGAGGCAGCAGUAGGGAAUCUUCGGCAAUGGACGAAAGUCUGACCGAGCAACGCCGCGUGAGUGAAGAAGGUGUUCGGAUCGUAAAGCUCUGUUGUAAGAGAAGAACGGGUGUGAGAGUGGAAAGUUCACACUGUGACGGUAUCUUACCAGAAAGGGACGGCUAACUACGUG
This 505-nucleotide ribosomal RNA is filed under the name uncultured bacterium. RNAcentral's name for it is "partial 16S ribosomal RNA". It matches the Rfam family "Bacterial small subunit ribosomal RNA", at positions 28 to 507 of the family's 1533-position model. The record is from RNAcentral.